This 472-nucleotide ribosomal RNA is filed under the name uncultured bacterium. Its description in RNAcentral is "bacterial SSU rRNA". It matches the Rfam family "Bacterial small subunit ribosomal RNA", at positions 335 to 800 of the family's 1533-position model. The record is from RNAcentral.
ACUCCUACGGGAGGCAGCAGUGGGGAAUAUUGCACAAUGGGCGCAAGCCUGAUGCAGCGACGCCGCGUGGGGGAUGACGGCCUUCGGGUUGUAAACUCCUUUCGUUAGGGACGAAGCCACACCUUUUUUUGGGUGUGGUGACGGUACCUUUGUUAAGAAGCACCGGCUAACUACGUGCCAGCAGCCGCGGUAAUACGUAGGGUGCGAGCGUUGUCCGGAAUUACUGGGCGUAAAGAGCUCGUAGGUGGUUUGUUGCGUCGUCUGUGAAAUUCCGGGGCUUAACUUCGGGGUGGCAGGCGAUACGGGCAUAACUAGAGUGCUGUAGGGGAGACUGGAAUUCCUGGUGUAGCGGUGGAAUGCGCAGAUAUCAGGAGGAACACCGAUGGCGAAGGCAGGUCUCUGGGCAGUAACUGACGCUGAGGAGCGAAAGCAUGGGGAGCGAACAGGAUUAGAUACCCUUGUAGUCCUGAGU